Molecule: long non-coding RNA, 1148 nt
Filed under: Daphnia pulicaria
Lineage: Eukaryota; Metazoa; Arthropoda; Branchiopoda; Diplostraca; Daphniidae
Description: uncharacterized LOC124327417, transcript variant X1
Source: RNAcentral
UUUAGGCAUGAUUUUAGGCCAUACCAAUGUGUAUACCAUAUGCCUACCACAUAAACGUUGAGGCUGCAGAUUUCGGCAUAGUUGCUGCGUAAAAGUGUCAGCCUUUGAAUUGUUUAACUGUCACUCAAUACCUCAAAUUCCAACAACGUAUUCUGUCUCUUCUUAUUAAAAAACGGAAUCCAAGAGUGUAUCAACGAAAAAACAACAUUUGCGAAAGUCAACUCAAAAUGACAGCUACAUCUACCUAAGUGGACGCAAUGUUUUGCCUGAAAUACUAAGAAUCCAGUCUACAUACGACACGAAUCAACGUGAUAUGAGAGGAUUUUUAUUGAAUUACAGCUGAUAUGGGCGCAAAUACUGGUUCAAUGCACUCAUUUUUGUCGAAAAGCAUUUCAACCACGAAGAAUUUGAUGACGCUAAAGAGGCUAUUGUAAGGGAAGUCUACAACACAUGGUACUUGAGCAGCGAACACUCCCAUAAAUUCAGACAAUUGCUUGUGAUUUUGUCCAAUUUAGGGAAUUGAAAAAGCUAUCUUAGAGCAAUAUGGAAUCUGUGGCAAGAAAUAUUGAGGCAAACUGGUUUCCACGAUGCAGUUAACAAACAAUCAUAAAGGCAAAAACUAAUUAUCGUCGAUGCAAUCAAAAACAAAGAAAACAAAAGUGGAAACUUUGGAACCAUCUACUCUGCAGACGGGUUGGCCAGUUUGCAUGUCCUUAACGCUUGAAGGUCGCGGGGAAAAAACUGUCAAUGUGGUAUUGUAGAUGGUUGAAAUGACACGUGUUUCAUCAUUAUCAAGCAGACCCAUUCCCGGCAACGUCACCUGUAGAAGGAAUAAAGGCCAGUUUGUAUUUCAAAUUUCAAUCGAAGGUCAUGGAGAUCAUUACGUAAAACGUGUCAUGCAGUGGUGUAGAGGUUAGGUGAGAACGGGACGUUUUGCAUCAUUAUCGAGAAGGUAAAAUAACCGCAAGGCUUAAGAGGAGGGGUGAGAAAAAUUCGUAUAAACGGCGAGAGAAAAGUUGACAGGGAUCAGUCGAGUGAGUAUCUUAGACACGGUAACAGCUGCACUCCUGCAGUGUACUACCAUUUGCCAUCAGCUGCAUUCUUCAUCGUAUUAUCAUUUAACAAGUGAUAAAUUAUCAGUUCUCAAU